This 750-nucleotide long non-coding RNA is filed under the name Lathyrus oleraceus (garden pea). RNAcentral's name for it is "Pisum sativum (pea) long non-coding RNA (PSAT_LNC038649)". Lineage: Eukaryota; Viridiplantae; Streptophyta; Magnoliopsida; Fabales; Fabaceae. The record is from RNAcentral.
AUUCCAGACCAACUUACACCAAGGUAACUUCACUAUCUCAAAAACAUGGGUGUGAUGUGAGACUUGGACUUCAAAUUUCAAAUGUACAUGCAUUUUAAGAGCAUAAAAGCUAGACUAAUAUGCAUAGCAGCAUAUGAAAGAAUUGCUACAAUCCUAUUCAGUUCAAUUACAUUGAAAGUGUGAUGUGAGACUUGGACUUCAAAUUUCAAAUGUACAUGCAUUUUAAGAGCAUAAAAGCUAGACUAAUAUGCAUAGCAGCAUAUGAAAGAAUUGCUACAAUCCUAUUCAGUUCAAUUACAUUGAAAUAAAUAAGAUACCAUUUGUUCAUAAAAACGUUUAGCAAAGUAGCAAACUAUUGGGGCAAAGAAGCAUUACGUAUUCAUAUAGCAAUAACUUUUAAGAGUAGCUUCUAAGACUUUGGAGAAGAAUGAAAGGUUGGUCCCCUAGCAGAAGUCCUUUUGUUAAACUGAAAUACUUGCCCUGUCACAAGUUUGCCACCAUACAAAAGCAAGAAGGUUGAGCUGUAUAUUCCUUGUAUUGCACAGAGCAAGAGCAAGAUCACUCAGAUCAAGAGUUUGCAAUAUGGCAAAUGUCACUAACAGUUCCAAAUUUGAGAUUAAAAAUACAGAAUAUAGUUACAAAAUAAAAAAUUCUCCCCUGCCAACUGAAUCCCACGUUCCCGUUCCCGUUCCCAGUUGAAGCAUACACUUUAAUAAUAGCCAACAGCUCUCAGGUCAUUUUGUUGUGCCC